Molecule: ribosomal RNA, 529 nt
Filed under: uncultured bacterium
Lineage: Bacteria
Description: bacterial SSU rRNA
Rfam family: Bacterial small subunit ribosomal RNA
Source: RNAcentral
UCUUGACAUCCAGCGAACUUUCCAGAGAUGGAUUGGUGCCUUCGGGAACGCUGAGACAGGUGCUGCAUGGCUGUCGUCAGCUCGUGUUGUGAAAUGUUGGGUUAAGUCCGCAACGAGCGCAACCCUUAUCCUUUGUUGCCAGCGAUUCGGUCGGGAACUCAAAGGAGACUGCCGGUGAUAAACCGGAGGAAGGUGGGGAUGACGUCAAGUCAUCAUGGCCCUUACGAGUAGGGCUACACACGUGCUACAAUGGCGCAUACAAAGAGAAGCGACCUCGCGAGAGCAAGCGGACCUCAUAAAGUGCGUCGUAGUCCGGAUCGGAGUCUGCAACUCGACUCCGUGAAGUCGGAAUCGCUAGUAAUCGUGGAUCAGAAUGCCACGGUGAAUACGUUCCCGGGCCUUGUACACACCGCCCGUCACACCAUGGGAGUGGGUUGCAAAAGAAGUAGGUAGCUUAACCCUCGGGAGGGCGCUUACCACUUUGUGAUUCAUGACUGGGGUGAAGUCGUAACAAGGUAAGCGUACGUGU